AAAGACGUGCGCCUGUCUCCCUCUUGAUUCCUUACCCCAAAUUGCUUCUGAUUUUCCCUAUCUGAAAAAAGUCACUCCCCAAAAUGUUUUUGUGGCCAUGUUUGCUGGCGCCCAGAGCUCUCUCUUUGCCCGUCGUGGGUAUUUUUAGCUACGGAGUGUUUUGUUUGGAAUCAGAACAAAAUUCUGUCGAGCAUUUGAAACUUCUGUGGGCUGACCAGGGACCAGAACUACCGCUCAGACCUUCCCGAGUGCAGGUGUAAUAUGAAGUUGCCACUUACCAAUUGGAAAGAGUCACAUCCAGUAAAGAAGCAACAGGAACAAUAACUGAAAAGAGUAAACAGUCCGAGAGGAAUCCUCCUAGGGGAACAGGAGGUAUUCGAGAAUCGGUCUGGGAAGCUGUGGCCUCUCAGGCCUGCUUUGGAAAGGGAAGCAUACAUGAGCCAAAAAUCCAAGUUAGGCCACGGGGGUGGGGGAAUAAGGGAUGGGAGAAAGGAAACAAUGAUCCAGUUAGAGAGGUUUUAGUUUUUUUUCUAAAUUUAUUUUAUUUUAUGUGCAUUGGUGUUUUUGACAUGGGUGUUGAGUUCCCUGGAACGGGUGUUACAGACAGUUGUGAGCUGCCGUGUGGGUGCUGGGAAUUGAACCCAGGUCCUCCAGAAGAAAACCACUGCUUUUAACCACUGAGCCAUCUCUCCAGCCCCUUAGUCUGUUUGUUUUAAAGCCUUUCAGUCCUCAGCAAUAAGAAGUAAAUUUUCAUUUUUUUUUGUGGGUUUAUUUCUUUGUCAUUUUCUUCCUCCCCCCCCCCCCCCCAGUAAUAUCUAUUCCUCCAAAACAUGACCCAUUCUCCCUGGCAUGUGGUGGGUUCUCUCUGUAUCUGCCAUAUCAGAAAGAGCAAAAAAGGCUGGGACUCCACUCUUCCCCUAGCCUAUCAAUUAUAGAGACUGAGCUUCAAUCCCUGCUAUAGAGGAAGCACAUGGACACCUAUAGAGCAAAAAAUAAAUAAAAAAUAAAAAAAUUAAAAAAAAAUAAAGGGGGAAGCACCAGAUAGGACAUCCCCCAAAUACAUAUCAAAAUCCUUCCUAAAGUAGGUCAUCUUCCCAGGUCUGGGCCCUUCUCUACUCUGGAAACUAGUAAGGCUUAUCGUAAACAAAUCCUUCCAUGGGAAUGUUGCUGCAAUCCUUCCCAUUUAGGUGAUCGUGAGCAACAUCUAUGCCCUUCCUGAAGUCUUAACAACAAAGCUAGGCAGUUUCCCCAGAGUCCACUCUGACCGACUGUGAGUUGAUUCAGUUUCCUGCACAGCACAGGGCACACUGGAGAGUCAGACAAGGUGUCUUUCCUAUCGGUGGGAAAACUGGCCCUUCAUGUUACACUUUCCCUCAGAUGCAGAGAGGGCCCCCUGCCCUAGUCUUCCCAAGCUUGAACGGUGUAGCCCCUCCUGAAGCCACAUGCUGGUAGGGUGGCUUGCCUAACAGGUGAAAUGGAGCAGCUGGGAGUGAAUCCACAGAUACUGAGCUCUUGCAGGGACAAUCAUAAAGCCUCUGGCACGCGCCCUUUAUCAUGAUCCUUUGCCGAGUUCCAGGAUCCGCAGGACCCAGAUCCUGGUUUUCCUCUAUGCACAGUGACUUUAGUCAGGACUGCUUUGAUAGUGUGCCUACGUCCAAAGCUCUUUGUCUUGUAUACAUUGCCUAUUAUAUCUCCUAAGAUCUAUUCUUUUAGAAGUCAACGUUUCUAAAUUCUAAAAUCCCAAGUAUUUUGACACCAAUUUCUUGACUUAAUUUUUGAGAUUCUUUUUCCUCACCUCCUAAGAAUUUAGGGUUCUCCAGUGUGCGGGCUAAUUUUAUGUUAACUUGACACAGGCUAGAGUCAUCCAAGGGGAGGGAACCCUAAUUGAGAAAAUGCCUCCGUAAGACUAGUCUGAAGGCAAGCCUGUAAAAAUUUUCAUAAUUAGUGAUUGGUGGGGGACAGCCCAGGUCAUUUUGGGUGGGGUCAUCCCUGGGUUAGUGGUCCUGGGUUCCGUAAGCAGGCUGAAUAAGCCAUGAGAAACAAGCAGGUACGCAGCAUCCUCCAAGGCCUCAACAUCAGCUCCUGAGUUCUUGUCCUGACUUCCUUCAAUGAUAAUAUCUGGGAGUGUAAGUCAGAUAAACCAUUUCCUACUAACUUGAUUUAUCACAGCAAUUAGUAUCGCUAAGACACAGGGUAGGCUGAGCUGUUGUCCCUGAAGACUAGUACCUCCACGCUAUUUUAUUACCACUUGAGAGUACCUGUUCACAAAAGACUGCCAUUUGAUUUUUUCAUAAAGCCAGAAACAUGGAAAUCAACUUUUUUCUUCUACUCCUGUAGAACUUUAAGACAAUUCUGAGGCCAUUUCUGAGCCCUCUCAACCUUAGUGCCUUAGCGCCCCCCACCCCGUCCCUGGGAAUCUAACAACUAUACAUGCAUGGACUGAAAUGUUGGGAACUUCCCACAGAUGUCCAUAGACAUUUUUUUUAUUAUUUUGUUUAUUUAUUUAUUUUGGUUUUUCGAGACAGGGUUUCUCUGUGGCUUUGGAGCCUGUCCUGGAACUAGCUCUGUAGACCAGGCUGGUCUCAAACUCACAGAGAUCCACCUGCCUCUGCCUCCCGAGUGCUGGGAUUAAAGGCGUGCGCCACCACCGCCCAGCGUCCAUAGAUAUUUUGACUCUGUCCCUGGAAAGGAGUCAGAAUGACCCCCAGAUGUUCCCCCGUUACCUCAUCUGAUCUGGCAAUCACUCUCCAGCUCUGGCUCAGGCCACUUGUUAUUAGAAGCCCCCUGAAUAAGCCAAUCCUAAUAAUUGGAAAACAACCCCCGAGUUCCCUCCCCCCCUUGUUUCUAUGGCUUUUUGCUUUAUUAAUGGCUUGUGACAGGCAUUCAGGGUCCUUGGCAUUGAAUGCUGAGUGACCCUGCCAUGGCAGAAUUGAAAUCCUCUUGCUUUUACAACAACUGCGGUGUGAGAGUGUAUUCUUGGGGUGACUCCUCCUUGGUGGACCCUAGGGUCCAACACUCCCUCAUAUCUAUUGACUAAUCAUACCUAUUUACCAUUUAGGUAUUGCAAUUUCACUCCCCAAUUCAUUCUGCUCCUAUUGCUACUGCCCUAAAUUAUGGCCUCUAGCUUGCCUGGGUCACUGACUCCUCCAUACCAGACCUCCAUGUUAAUUCCUGCAUUCCAGAUCCCUUCUCCACAUUACUGUUAGAGACCCAGUUUGUCUACCUCUUUAACACCUUGCCUUGCCUUUAGUUUUUUUUUUUUGUUUGUUUGUUUUUUUGUUUUUGUUUUUCCAAAUAGGGUUUCUCUGUAGCUUUGGAGCCUGUCCUGAAACUAGCUCUUGUAGAUCAGGCUGGCCUCGAACUCACAAAGAUCCUCCCGAGUGCUGAGAUUAAAGGCAUGCGUCACCACCUCCCAGCUUUGCCUUUAAUUAUUCUUCCUUGGCUGGUUGCUGUAAUCUCAGCACAUGUGAGAAAGAGGAAAGAUCACAAGUUUAAGGCCAUCCUGGGCUACAUGAGACUCCCCCCCCCCCACCUUGUGCUAAGGAUAGACAAUCUAGAACACAUCUGGGCCUGGAACAUUGAUGACAAUGUGCCAUGUCAGUCCUGAACUAGUUACCUCUGAGUUUUCUUUAAGAACCAAAUAAUUUUUGGGGGAGGGGAGGGGUUUGAGACAGUUUUUCUGUAGCUUUGGGGCCUAUCCUGGAACUCACUCUACAGAUCAGGCUGGUGUCGAACUCAGAGAUCCGCCUGCCGCUGCCUCCUGAGUGCUGGGAUUAAAGGGGUGCGCCACCAUCGCCCAGUAAGAACCAAACUAUUUAAGCUACUGGUCAUUUAGGUAUGCCUCAUCCGGAGGGUCAGACAAGUAUGUGAAGAAAAUGUGUUCUCGAGAGGCCUGCAGGUGGACUUUGCUCCACUAGAGUCUGGUUAGGAGAACAUUGAUGUCAAUAGUUAAAUUUCUUUUGAGAGUCUAGAAGAAUGGCUCAGCAGUAAAAAACACUGACUGCUUUUCUAGAGGACCCAGUUUCAAUUCUCAGAACCCAAGGAACCCCAAUGACCUCUUGUGGCCUCUACGGACAGCAGCCACACAGGUGGUACACAGAUAAACACAAAAAACAAAACACCCAUACACAUUAAAAUUUCUUCUAAGAAUUUCAGCAAUGUAGUUAACAGAGGCUUAUCAACUAAUCACACUUUAGUGUGACCUGGAGGGAGCAGGGCGGCUCAUUGAAACACAUGGCCUUCACUGAAGCAGAUUGCUCCAACAGUUUGUCACAAUCCUUCGAGUACAGCUAUGGUGCAAUGGCCGACUUAAUAAGCAACAGCCAUGAGUGACUUUUCUCCCACUUCAUAGUCCUUGAUCACCUUUAAUUUCAUUUCUGGGUCAGCCAUUUGAUGACAACUUACUAUCAAUAUCUUGUUUCAUAAGGAGGUACAAGACACUGAAAUUUAUGACUGAAGACCCCUUCCAGAGGUUAUAUAAGCCGUACACACUUACACGUAGCGAUGCUUUCAUGAGUCCUCACCCAGGCUGUUAAGCUGUUCUCAGUUGCAGCUGUCAAUCAUCUGUAUUCCUGUUAGUAAUCCUGAGAAAUUUAUGGGCCCAUCAAGCUGGGCUUGGAUGGAAUCUUCUUUCGCUAUUAUUGUCCUCUCUCCAAGAAAAAAAACAUGUAACAAAGUCUGUUGAAUAUUCCAAGGCAGCAAAUUCUGAAGGCACAAAAGGAUGGCAAGGGAGCACGGGACCAGCUUUGGUAACUUUGACAUGGUUUUUAACUAGUGCUUUAUUGGGAAUGUCCUUUUUGAAGUUCAUCAUGUCUAUCUCCCCUUCCUGUGCAUUAUGUUGAAACUAAUCCUCAAAGCAGCUUUAUGAAGAUGGGGGAUGGUGGGUUGAUUCAGUUAUAAAGACUGUUUUCAUGAGUGAGACUCGUGCCCUUAAAAAGACUUAAAGACUUCUCAGCCUACGGAACUAGAUUUUAUUUUUAAAGUCAGUUUUACUCUGUAGCCCAGGCUGGUCUCAAACUCACUAUGAUCCUCCUGCUUCAGUCAGCCUUUCAAAUUGGAAACUGUAUGAGUCAUCAGUGCCUAGCUACUUUUUUUAACUGUAAAUCACAAUCAAAGGUGUUUCAGGGGGCUGGAGAGAUGGCUCAGUGGUUAAGGGCAUUGCCUGCUCUUCCAAAGGUCCUGAGUUCAAUUCCCAGCAACCACAUGGUGGCUCACAACCAUCUGUAAUGAGGUCUGGUGCCCUCUUCUGGCCUGCAGACAUACACACAGACAGAAUAUUGUAUACAUAAUAAGUAAAUAAAUAUUUUUUUUAAAAAAAAAAGGUGUUUCAGUGCUGGGGCUGUGGUGGUACAUGCCUUCAAUCUGAGCACUGAGGAGGCAGAGGCAGACAGAUCUCUGUGAAUUCAGGGCCAGCCUGGGCUACAGAGCAAGUUCCAAGAUUGGUGUAGGAGGUCCUUCUGUAUUUGUGCUGCUUUCAUUGUUAUUAAAGAAACUGCCUUGGCCUUCUGAUAGGGCAGAACUUAGAUAGGUGGGGAAAAGAGAACUGAAUGCUGGGAGAAAGAAGGCAGGCAGAGAGAGCUGCCAUGAAGUCACCAGGUCAGAGAUGCUGAAUCUUUCCUGGUAAGGCACGACCUCGUGGUGACAUACAGAUUAUUAGAAAUGGGUUGAAUCAAGAUGUGAGAGUUAGCCAAUAAGAGGCUAGAACUAAUGGGCCAGGCAGUAAUUUAAUUAAUACAAAUUCUGUGUGGUUAUUUCGGGGGUUAAGCUAGCCAGGCGGCGGGAUGCAGCCCACACCUUCUACAACACAAGACAGCCAGGACUACACAGAGAAACCCUAUCUUGAAAAAAAAAAAAAAAAGGCAAAACAAAA
This is a long non-coding RNA of Alexandromys fortis (reed vole), 5869 nucleotides long. RefSeq lists it as uncharacterized. The transcript has 2 exons. Lineage: Eukaryota; Metazoa; Chordata; Mammalia; Rodentia; Cricetidae. The record is from RefSeq and is a predicted model, not a curated record.